Molecule: ribosomal RNA, 253 nt
Filed under: uncultured bacterium
Lineage: Bacteria
Description: partial 16S ribosomal RNA
Rfam family: Bacterial small subunit ribosomal RNA
Source: RNAcentral
UACGUAGGGGGCAAGCGUUGUCCGGAUUUAUUGGGCGUAAAGAGCGUGUGGGCGGCUAUACAGGUCCGCUGUGAAAACUCGAGGCUCAACCUCGAGACGUCGGUGGAAACCGUAUGGCUAGAGUCCGGAAGAGGAGAGUGGAAUUCCUGGUGUAGCGGUGAAAUGCGCAGAUAUCAGGAAGAACACCCGUGGCGAAGGCGGCUCUCUGGGACGGUACUGACGCUGAGACGCGAAAGCGUGGGGAGCGAACAGG